Molecule: small nuclear RNA, 103 nt
Organism: Capra hircus (goat)
Lineage: Eukaryota; Metazoa; Chordata; Mammalia; Artiodactyla; Bovidae
Source: Ensembl
GUGCUUUGGCAGCACACAUACUAAAAUUGGAACAAUGCAGAGAAUAUUAGCACGGCCCCUGUGCAAGGAUGACACACAAAUUUGUAAAGUGUUCCAUAGUUUU